AUACGUAGGUGGCAAGCGUUGUCCGGAUUUAUUGGGCGUAAAGGGAGCGCAGGUGGUUUCUUAAGUCUGAUGUGAAAGCCCACGGCUUAACCGUGGAGGGUCAUUGGAAACUGGGAAACUUGAGUACAGAAGAGGAAUGUGGAACUCCAUGUGUAGCGGUGGAAUGCGUAGAUAUAUGGAAGAACACCAGUGGCGAAGGCGACAUUCUGGUCUGUUACUGACACUGAGGCUCGAAAGCGGGGGGAGCAAACAGGAUUAGAUACCCUGGUAGUCCACGCCGUAAACGAUGAGUGCUAGGUGUUGGAGGGUUUCCGCCCUUCAGUGCCGCAGUUAACGCAUUAAGCACUCCGCCUGGGGAGUACGACCGCAAGGUUGAA
This 377-nucleotide ribosomal RNA is filed under the name uncultured bacterium. Its description in RNAcentral is "bacterial SSU rRNA". It matches the Rfam family "Bacterial small subunit ribosomal RNA", at positions 523 to 898 of the family's 1533-position model. The record is from RNAcentral.